Molecule: non-coding RNA, 153 nt
Organism: Papilio machaon (common yellow swallowtail)
Lineage: Eukaryota; Metazoa; Arthropoda; Insecta; Lepidoptera; Papilionidae
Source: Rfam
AAGGAAUCUGAAGAACAGCAUCGGAGUUUUUUCUGUGGAAAGUCCUCGGAAACCUUCUGAAAGAGAACCUUAAUCGGAUUUGUUUCGUAAAAAUAGUUUAAUGCUGUUGGGUAUUGUUCUACUUAACUGAAUGAGGCUUACUCUCAGAUUCCU